This is a non-coding RNA of Pantherophis guttatus, 7060 nucleotides long. NCBI's taxonomy places the organism in Eukaryota, Metazoa, Chordata, Lepidosauria, Squamata, Colubridae. The record is from RefSeq and is a predicted model, not a curated record.
CUAAAGCAUCCUCUGAUUCAGUGCCUUCAGAUCUGUGGAAUUAGAAUUGCAUCCCCAAUCAAAUGCAUUUGCUUAUUGAAGAUUAUGGAAGGUACAAGCUAACGUUGGAAGAGUUGGGUUGCAUAUCAAUGAUAAUGUGGUCAUGAUUUUGAUUUGAUAGUUGGGUUUGUUGUGUCAAUAUUCUAGAAUAGUGAUAUCCUGAUGCCUUAAUGUGGGAUAAAUUAUAGAGCUAUACCAGUGUUGGCGAACCUUUUCAGCACUGAGUGCCAAAAUGGGAGUGCGCACGUACGCCCAGGGGAGUGCCAGAAACCGGAAGAGCAAUUCCCCAGUGCGCAUGUGCACCAGGGAGCUGGUCUUCUAGUUUCUGGUGCACACAAAUGUGCAAAGACCAGCUGGCUGGUGCAGAUGUGCAUGCCGGAUCCCAGAAGAGCAACGGGCGAUGGCUGGCAUUCCGGGAAAGAUGGCUCUGCGUGCCACUUCCGGCACAUGUGCCAUAGGUUUGCCAUCACUGAGCUAUACUAUUGGGAAGCCUCCAAAGUUUCAUCUUCCUUAACCUAUAAGAUGUGAAAAGUUUACAAGUGAAAGUUUGUAUGGCAUAAAAGGGAAAAUAGAUAACAGAGAUUGCAUGUUAAUUGCAUGUUAACUCCCCCAUCAUUUCAAUAAAACUGCAGUGUAUUUUAUGAUAUUGUGAAAGACUAAGCAGGAGAAUCUAUUCAUUUUGUUUAAUGAAGUGUUAAAAGUUAGUGGCUAUUUUAAGAAAUUUCUUUUCUUCUGUUGCUCUUUUUCUUUAAGCGGGACAGACCUUUGUGCAGGAGAUGUUCCUCGUGUAGUUCUUCAGAUUAGAAUUGUUCUCUAUUAAAUAGGAUAUGUGACAAUUUUACUUGCAAUAAAUACUGUUGUUGAGAGAGGCAGAAGUAAAGAAAAUUAAUAGAAAAAUAAAUUGAUUUUAUAUAUUUGUUUGCUUAUAAUAUUUAUUUGCUGCCCAUCUCAUAUCCAAUGACUCUUCCUUAAGCUUAAAAUCAGAUAUCUAAAGCAUGAUGUAAAUUAAUUGAUUGGUAUUAUGUUUUCACAUAUUAUCUCUACAUAUUGGAAUGUAAAACCAUUAAAUUAUGAUAAUGGUGACUGUUUCAUCCAAAGGCCAGUCAUUUAUAUCUGGGUGCAGCUCCCCAAAGCUUUGGGUGCCAUACUCAGAACUCUUCAGAAUUUAAUGCCAAAGUAUAAUUUUUAAUGUCACAAAAAUAGAAAAUUAUGAAAUAUGUACAAAAUGAUUAUGAUAAUGGUACUUAAAUUUAAAUUUCAUUUAAGAAAAGUAUCUAUUUCAUUUAGGUAUAAUUACCCAGUGUUGCUGGGAGUUGAGCAAAUGUAUUGUUAUUAUUAUAUACAUAGCAGUGUUAAAACACAGCUGACAGUUCUCUAGUUCUUUCCAAGAACCUACAAUGCCAAUUUACUAGCAUAGUAUAUGUGCAGAUGCAAGCAGUGUGGCUUUUUGUAAGUGAUGGAUGAAAAUUUUGUCAAUACACAGAUUUUCCAAAUGCCAUAUAAGAUUUUUUGUUAUGGUAUUCAGUGUGUCAAUAACCAGUGAGACCACCAUGGCUAGUUUAUGCCAUAAUCUUUCAAUUUAGAUUUUCAGAUCUUGAAACUUUAUGAUCUUCUCCAAUUAUUAUUCCCCAGUAUUGCCAAAUAACUUAUCCACACUUUCUUCUUUUCAUCCACAGUUAAAUCUGGUGUGUUAUGAGCCAAAAUUUAUCAGUUUGUAUUUGGAAAUCCCACAAUGUUUUAACCUGUUCAUUUUUGCCUACUUUUUCAAUUCUGUGUUCCCAUCAAGUUUUAAUUGCAGUGUUGGUAUUCAGCCGGUUCUAUUCGGUUUGGGCGAACCAGUAGCGACAGCGGUGGGAGGCUCCGCCCACCCGCCUGGACAUAAUCAGGUCCCAUUUUUGACGCUCUGCACGUGCUCACAUUUGUGAACCGGUAGCAAAGAUAGUAUCCUUUGCCUGUGUCAGAAGGAAUGCAAUUACUUCAGAAGUCUUGUGAUGACUGGGAUUGCAAAGCCCAGAGGGUUUGCCAUUUAUUAUGGUUCAGAAGCUCAGAUAAUAAUUGACAACAAAAGUAAUUCUUUGGAAGCUAAGCCAUUGAUAACUUGAGCAGAGAUUCAAGUAUAUAAACGUGACAUAUGCCUCUUUUCCACUAAUACAUUAAGAAGGAUGAAUAGGGAUGUUACUCAUCUGGAUAUGUGCACAGAAAGCCAGUGGAGACGAACUAGAAGAAGAAACUUGAAUAGCUCCCUCCUUUCGGAUUGCAGUUCCCAAGAGUGAGACUGAUAAGUAGAGUUUGCUAAAUAGUUUAGCAACGGAGGAAAUGUGAUGAUUCUAAUGUGCCAGUCAAGCUGACAUUAAGAUUACAGUUCUAAAUAUGCUGGAAUGAAUGAGACUUCCAAUGGUGCAAUGGUUAGAAUGCAGUAAUAGAACACAGGCUAAUUCUGCCGGCUGACAGCAGUUCGAUUCUCACCGGCUCAAAGUUUGACUCAGCCUUCCAUCCUUCCAAGGAAGCUGAUGAGUUAACUCCUUUGGAAAACUACCAGCUGCUGUUGCUGCCACACUUCAAGAAUGAGGAAAGUUUUCUCUGCAUCUUUUAAAGCUUUGUGCCAAACCUGCAGAGCGGUGGAGUCUUAACAAUGCAGAAAGAAGUGGAACUAUAAUUUUUCAUGCUUCAGAAGUGACUUGUAAUCAGGAUUUCCUCUUGAACAUGGAAUAGAAGACCUUGUGCCAAGGAAACAUUAUGGAGCACAUGACAGCCUCUGCAAGCAACAGAAUGUAUAUUCCUGUGAUCCAGCAACACGGUGGGAAUUGGUAACACUUAAUAUUAGUGCUGAUGGACAGUAUUUAUUAACUACAUGUUACAGAAUAAAGAGAGAAUAGUAAACUGGAAAAGAAGAUAACAUUCAACAGCCUGCAACUAGCCUAUGCUUCAUAGAAAAUACUUAACAGCUUGUCUGCGAGGCGCAUAUGGAGAGAACUGUAACCAAGUAUGUCAGUGCUCCAGAAAGAAUGAAGAAUGCCACCAUGACAGUGGCAGGUGUGGGUGCCUGCCAGAAAAAUCAGAAUCAAGGAUGCUAUGGUAUGCCUUAUGACACUCUGUGGAAGUGAAAGUUGGAUAGGAAGACUAUUGAACUUCGGUGUUGAAGAAGACUCCUAAGAAUACCACUGGAAGGUCAGGAAGACAAACAAAUGGAUCAAUGAACAAAUCAAACCAGAGUUCUCACUUUAGGCCCAAAUAUCCAGGUUCAAAUUAUCCUGUGUUGGAUAUGUCUCUUUCUUCAUAGAACAUAGCAUAAUAGCAUUGGAAGGGAUCUUGGAGAUCUUCAAGAGAUGCUAUACUAUUCCAGAUAAAUGGCUGUCCAAUCUAUUUUUGAAAACCUCCAGCACCCACAACUUCUGGAGGUAAGCAAAUUGGAUUGUUCUCAAAUUUCCUGCUCUUGCCUUGUUAUCUGCUUAGUAUGUUUGUGUGUGUGUAUGUGUGUGUGUGUGUGUGUGUACUGGCUAUGUAAUACUUUGCCUUACCAUGUCUGAUUUCUAUUGUUCGUUUUGUUUUUCUUGUAAAUUUGUUUGAUCUUUUCCGUAUUCAGUAAGCCUUCAUGGUGUACUAGCUUCAGUGCAUCUUCUUCAGAUGUCUUUCAGAUAAUUCUUCCUUUUAUUCUUUUCUUAUUCUCUUUCUUUUUCUUCACACAAAAUUCCACUUCCACCAAAUUAUUUUUCAACGAUGGAGGUCCGGUAUCUAUUUCCCCAUGGGAAAAAUUAAAAAAAGAAAUGAUGAUCAAGAACAGUGCUUUUGCUUCCUUCCCAAAAGCUAUCUUCCUGCUUUUCCUCAAGAUGUAAAUAAUUAUUUGCAUGGAAGUGUUUGAGUAAAAUUCAGAAUGGAGGCUAUUAAACUGGAUAGAUCAAUUGCCUAAUUCUAAGACAACUUCAGGUAUCAAUUUUUAUUUGGCUCAUUGUUAUUUGGCUGGAGGAAAAUCCAAGAACAGGAGCCCUAUGUUCAAACACUUACUUGUUGGGGCUGAUAAAAUUAAAUUGAGAACUGGGCUCAUGAACUGUCUCCAGAGCAGAAGUGUUGCUAAGAAAUCGGCUCAAUAUACAGAGACUCCCCCAAAGAACUUAAGUUGGACAGAGUACAGCCAGCAUGUGGCUGGAUAUGGUUGGAAACCUUUCUUGGCAGCAAUUGCUGUACUUAUAAUACCGCAAAAGUGGGGGAAAGCAGCCCAAGAAAUUAUCCAUAAAAGGUGUAGCUGGCUGGUAAACAGAAGCUUUUAGCCGCCAAGAGCAACUGAGCUUUCAUGUUUUCACAUUUUGGAGUGAAGAAUUGAAAUAGUGUCUUGGCAGGAUUUAAGGAAGCAGAUAGCCGCACAAUAAGAAUGGCUUUAUUUGCCUAUAAAUCAGUUCAGGGACAUAUGUCUGAUAUACUAUAAUUUCUCUCUCUCUCUUUUUUUUUUAAAAAAAAGAAAACUCAAUGUCUAAAUUUGCUGCACUGAAUAACAGAUUUAAUAAUAUUACUGAGCCAUAUCCAGAUGAAAGGGGAGGAAGAAGAGGACGAGGAAAAGGAAAAGUGAAUGUUUUUACAGUACAAGGUAAAGGUAAAGGUUUCCCUCGCACAUACGUGCUAGUUGUUCCCGACUGUAGGGGGCAGUGCUCAUCUCUGUUUCAAAGCUGAAGAGCCAGCGCUGCCCGAAGACGUCUCCGUGAUCAUGUGGCCAGCAUGACUAAACCCCAAAGGCGCACAGAACGCUGUUACCUUCCCACCAAAGGUGGUCCCUAUUUUUCUACUUGCAUUUUUUACGUGCUUUUGAACUGCUAGGUUGGCAGAAGCUGGGACAAGUAACGGGAGCUAACCCCGUUAUGCAGCAUUAGGGAUUUGAACCACUGAACUGCUGACUUUUUGAUCGACAAGCUCAGUGUCUUAGCCACUGAGCUACCGUGUCCCUUUUACAUUACAAAGAACCUCCAAAAUGACUUGAAUUGCUUUUCUCUCCCCACUGAUGUAAGGAAGUAUAUUAAUUAUAUCAGCGCAAAAAUAAAUUGAAUUAGGUGUUAUAAUAUGGAGGGAAAUUAACUAGGAAAUUGCUAUUUUCGGUCCUGUGGCCUAAUAUUUAUAUAUAAAUAUACAAAUAUUUUCAAAUGUUUCUCAUAGGUUUUUCCUUGCUGAUUGCUCUCCAUUUGAUAAAUUCCAGCUUGUCAAUAUACUCCUUAAAAUAUGGAGUAAUAUUCCAAUAUGCAAUAGAAUAAUGUCCAGAACAGUUUUCUAUAUGCUGUUGGAUCAGUGCAAAAUAUAGAAGAAUGAUGAUUGCCGUUGAAUACCACAUUAUACUUCAGCUAAUGAAUCCUGGGAUCGUCCUUCCUUCCUUCCUUCCUUCCUUCCUUCCUUCCUUCCUUCCUUCCUCUGCCUACACACUGUUGGCUCAUAUUCAGCUUAUGAUUUACCAAUUUCUAUAUUUAGCUUAUUUCUAUACCUGUUUCAGGCUCUACCCAGAAAUUUAUUAAUUCUACAUGAAGAAAUUACUUCUAAAUAGAUAUGCACUGAUGCCACUUCGAUUAAGCAGACCUCUUGAGGGGACAUUCACAUCAUAUAGGCAAAUAGGAUCUGCAACUUGGAAAGCCAUGAAGACAGGAGGCUGAGAUACUCAUGAUAAUUGCUCUUAUGGAAAUAAGUAAGUUAGAAACUCUGGCUGGUUUUCAAGCUGUCCCUGCCUUCAACUCCUUCAGAAAACAUGGGCUUCUUGAGAAAAUAUUUGCUGGUAUUUGAGGGACCGGCAAGAAACUUGGAUUUAGUGCAUAUGCAUGUGAGAAGAUACAAGACUCAAAUAGCCAUGAAGAAAUGGCAGCCAGCCACCUCUUUCAUGGACCGUUUGCAAACAGUAGUGAUGUACAUCCACCAAAAGAAGAAGAACAGCAUCAAGAAAAAUGGAUGGCAUGAGAGAUACUGCAUUUAAAGCCAAUGUGUUCAAGAGGUUUUAUUUCCAUCUUAAUCCUUGUGGAACACAUUCAAGGUCUUGCAGUUCAUGGAACUCUCUCCCUCUCCCCUUCUAUUGCUCUAGAGGUGUUUCUCUGUAUGUCUUCAGAGCAUCUGGGCUCCAGAAAUAACUUCAUGCCGGAUACUAAAACUACAUAGUAUUGAAAAAUAUGCUGAUGCUAUUUAGCUAGAUAUGUCCGCCCCUGGCAGACAAAGCGAGGUUGUCAUAUUGUUGGCCCAGUUUUUGGAGGCUGUAAGAGUUUCAGAGAGGAGGAACCAGCUUUAAUUUGACACUAGCAAAAAAGAGCACCUCCUGUAUUUUUGAUCUCCCUGGCUGUGUUGAGGUAUCAUCUCUGUCUUUGGCUAGGUUUCAUCUUCCAUGGUGGAGCUGGUGUGCAGUUUGUGGAUCUCUCUGGACUCACAGCUUCUCCUCAAGGAGCAGGUAGCAUAUGUGGCUUGGAAGCUUUCGUAUAGAUUCAUCUUAUGGUUCAAUUGUAUUGUACCUAUUCCUGGACAAGAAAGCCUUGCUCACUGUCAGUCACAAUCUGCUCACAUUUCAGAUGGCUUUCUAUAACAGUGGUCACCAAUUGAUGGUCCGUGAAAAAUUUUUGGUGGUCCACAGAAAAAUUAUUUCCAUUUUUUAAAUUGCACUAAAUACUAUUUAGCUUUUUAAAAAAUUCAUAUUAGUGGUCCGUGGGAUUUAAAAUUAUUAAUUUAGUGCUCCCUGAGAUCCAAAGGGUUGGUGACCCCUGUUCUAUAAUGUGCUCUACAUGGGGCUGUCCUUGAAGACCAUACAGAAAUUACAGCUGGUUCAGACUGCAGUAGUGGGUAGAGUUUUGGGUUUUCAAUCAUUCACCAAUGUUGUGUCUGUAGGUGACCAGGCGGAGCUCGGGGGAGGAGUCAAACAUGUCAUCAGUCUCGAGUCCCUUCACACCACCAGAGAUUUAAAUCCAGUCCACUUUGAAUUCUGUUGACUUUUAUGUACCACCAAUUUGUUUUGACUACUACCUGUUCAGAUUCUUCUGAGGAGAGUUAGUAUGCAAUAAAUGUACGUUCAUUUGAA